GGGUCAGUAGGUUGGUCAUGCCACUGGUAUGUACUGGUCUCACUGAUUCCUCCUUCCUGAUGAGCCGUAAUGCCAUUAAUUUGGUGUUGCGAGGAAUCUGGACUGUUACUUUGAAAAAAUUAGAGUGUUUAAAGCAGGCAUCCGUCUGAAUACAUUAGCAUGGAAUAAUAAAAUAGGACGGUUUGGUUCUAUUUUGUUGGUUUCUAGGAUCGACGUAAUGAUUAAUAGGGAUAGUUG
RNAcentral lists this ribosomal RNA (237 nucleotides) under uncultured Glomus. RNAcentral describes it as "partial 18S ribosomal RNA". The stretch from base 40 to 237 matches the Rfam family "Eukaryotic small subunit ribosomal RNA", at positions 686 to 884 of the family's 1831-position model. Lineage: Eukaryota; Fungi; Glomeromycota; Glomeromycetes; Glomerales; Glomeraceae. The record is from RNAcentral.